GAAAUGCGAUAAGUAGUGUGAAUUGCAGAAUUCAGUGAAUCAUCGAAUCUUUGAACGCACAUUGCGCCCUCUGGUAUUCCGGAGGGCAUGCCCGUUCGAGCGUCAUAAGAACCCCCCUCAAGCGAUUCCGCUUGGUCAUGGGCCCGGGCCCCGCCACCGCCGUCGGUGGUGGCGGGGUCCCCGUCCGAAUAGCAUUGCGCGGAGCGAUGCCGCCGUCUGCGGAAGUAAUAGACCAAUUUGCCUCCGUCAGCGCGAGCAGGAAGUUCCCGCCAGCAAAACCCCCAACUUUCCUUGAAAGCAUGACCUCGGACGGGUAGGGAUACCCGCUGAACUUAA
Molecule: unclassified non-coding RNA, 336 nt
Filed under: uncultured fungus
Lineage: Eukaryota; Fungi
Description: sequence contains ITS1
Rfam family: 5.8S ribosomal RNA (bases 1-105)
Source: RNAcentral